GAAAUGCGAUAAGUAAUGUGAAUUGCAGAAUUCCGUGAAUCAUCGAAUCUUUGAACGCACAUUGCGCCCUCUGGUAUUCCGGAGGGCAUGCCUGUUCGAGCGUCAUUACACCUCUCAAGCGCACUGGCUUGGUCAUGGGCUGCGCCGGUAAUGCGGCGGGCCUUAAAAUCGGUGGCGGUGCCUCCUGGCUGCACGCGUAGUACUUUGCUCGCGGCGCAGCGCCUGGUGGUGCCUGCCAGCAACCCCCCCAACAACACCUAGGUUGACCUCGGAUCAGGUAGGGAUACCCGCUGAACUUAA
Molecule: unclassified non-coding RNA, 300 nt
Filed under: uncultured Ascomycota
Lineage: Eukaryota; Fungi; Ascomycota
Description: sequence contains ITS1
Rfam family: 5.8S ribosomal RNA (bases 1-105)
Source: RNAcentral